RNAcentral lists this ribosomal RNA (937 nucleotides) under uncultured Microgenomates group bacterium. RNAcentral's name for it is "bacterial SSU rRNA". It matches the Rfam family "Bacterial small subunit ribosomal RNA", at positions 88 to 858 of the family's 1533-position model. The record is from RNAcentral.
CACAAGAGUGGCAGACGGCUGAGUAACACGUAGGAACGUACCUUUUGGCGGGGAAUAGCUUCGAGAAAUCGGAGGUAAUUCCGCAUAGUCCUUGUCCUUUGGACAAGGAAAUUCUAGGAAAAUUUUAAAUUCGAAACCCGAAAUCCUAAACAAAUCUUAAUUUUUCAAAUUCCAAAUCCCAAACAAAUAAUCUGUUUGGAAUAUUGGAGUUUAGAAUUUUAGAUUUUGUUUAGAUUUUAGAAAUUAGAAUUUAGGAUUUAAAUUCAUAUAGGAUUUCCUCGUCCAGAGGACGAGGUAAAGGAUGUAACUAUCCACCAAAAGAGCGGCCUGCGGCCUAUCAGCUUGUUGGUGGGGUAAUGGCCCACCAAGGCUAAGACGGGUAGGGGAGGUGAGAGCCUGUUCCCCCAGAAUGGAACUGAGAUACGGUCCAUACACCUACGGGUGGCAGCAACCGGGAAUCUUGCGCAAUGGGCGAAAGCCUGACGCAGCGACACCGCGUGGAGGAUGAAGGCCUUCGGGUCGUAAACUCCUCUCUAAUAGUCCAUUGGAUUGUUAGUCAAAAAGCACCGGCUAACUACGUGCCAGCAGCUGCGGUAAUACGUAGGGUGCGAGCGUUGUCCGGAUUUACUGGGCGUAAAGAGUCUGUAGGCGGAUAAGUAGGUUAUUGGUUAAAGGCUCCGGCUCAACUGGAGAAAAGCCGAUAAUACCGCUUAUCUAGUCCUCGAGAGGGGGUGCUGGAACUUACUGUGUAGGGGUGAAAUCCGUUGAUACAGUAAGGAACACCAACGGCGAAGGCGGGCACCUGGAUCGAUGGAGACGCUGAGAGACGAAAGCUAGGGUAGCAAAUCGGAUUAGAGACCCGAGUAGUCCUAGCCCUAAAUGAUCCCUGCUAGAUGGUCGAUUUUGAUUCGUUCGGAUUGACUGUCGAAGGUAACCC